GAUGAAGAACGUAGCGAAAUGCGAUAAGUAAUGUGAAUUGCAGAAUUCAGUGAAUCAUCGAAUCUUUGAACGCACAUUGCGCCCGCCAGUAUUCUGGCGGGCAUGCCUGUUCGAGCGUCAUUUCAACCCUCAAGCCCCCGGGCUUGGUGUUGGGGAUCGGCGAGCCUCCGCGCCCGCCGUCCCCUAAAUCUAGUGGCGGUCUCGCUGUAGCUUCCUCUGCGUAGUAGCACACCUCGCACUGGGAAACAGCGCGGCCACGCCGUUAAACCCCCAACUUCUGAACGUUUGACCUCGGAUCAGGUAGGAAUACCCGCUGAACUUAAGCAUAUCAAUAAGCGGAGGA
RNAcentral lists this unclassified non-coding RNA (343 nucleotides) under soil metagenome. RNAcentral describes it as "partial contains 5.8S ribosomal RNA, internal transcribed spacer 2, and large subunit ribosomal RNA". The stretch from base 1 to 120 matches the Rfam family "5.8S ribosomal RNA", at positions 35 to 154 of the family's 154-position model. The record is from RNAcentral.